Molecule: long non-coding RNA, 204 nt
Filed under: Arachis ipaensis
Lineage: Eukaryota; Viridiplantae; Streptophyta; Magnoliopsida; Fabales; Fabaceae
Description: long non-coding RNA (AIPA_LNC001981)
Source: RNAcentral
UAACCAUACAAUAAAUAUUUUAGGUAUGUUGCUACUAGGUUAUGUAAGUUGCAAUACAUCUUGUUCAUGUGGUAUAGUAUUAUAUUAGCACUUCUGACCUUGUAUGUUACUUGGAAACGAGCCAUAAAGACAAGGACUUUAUAUUUUUAGAAAACCUGACAAUAAGCUAAUCUAUAUCUAGAGAAUUGGGUUUGUUAACUACCU